This is a long non-coding RNA of Empidonax traillii (willow flycatcher), 363 nucleotides long. RefSeq lists it as uncharacterized. NCBI's taxonomy places the organism in Eukaryota, Metazoa, Chordata, Aves, Passeriformes, Tyrannidae. The record is from RefSeq and is a predicted model, not a curated record. The transcript is spliced from 3 exons.
GGAAAAAGAAAGAGAAGUAGGAACAAAUGGAAAAAGUGAAGGCAGACCUGGAAAAGGAACAACAGAAGAGAUGUGGCCAGGCACAUGCAUCCAAACCUAUCAAUGUUCCAGCAUGAAGAAACAUAGAUAACAACAAAGCAUCUUCUAAUAUAUCAGAAGACUAACAACACAGCGUGCAAAGGAGCCAGCAAACUGAUCCAGCACUGCUGGGCAAAUUCCAAACUAAAGUAUAACAUCACAGAUAUUUUAAUCUGAAAUAGUUUACAGAAACAGAAACUAGAAGAAGAGUGGAGGUGCCAUGAGGAGGAGGUGGCAGCAAAGAAGUCACAAUUAGAGAAAACAGCACAAGAACAUAUUUGGCAG